AGCAUAUCAAUAAGCGGA
This 18-nucleotide small nuclear RNA is filed under the name Arabidopsis thaliana (thale cress). Its description in RNAcentral is "snRNA_03933". The record is from RNAcentral. Lineage: Eukaryota; Viridiplantae; Streptophyta; Magnoliopsida; Brassicales; Brassicaceae.